UUACUUUCUGGAGAAAAAACAAUAUCCUUUGAACAGGAUGAAGAUGAUCUAGACUUAGAUUUGGAAGGCGUUAAUAUUGACGACAAUAUAGACACAACGGAUAUCAAUAUCGACGAUGAUUUAUUGAGCGAUUGAAAUUGGCCAUUCAGCGAUGGAAAUUGUGUAUAAAUUUUUAUAAACUAUAGUUCCCAGAUUAUAUUGAUUUAUUAUUCAACUAAUUCUAUAAA
Molecule: long non-coding RNA, 227 nt
Organism: Leptinotarsa decemlineata (Colorado potato beetle)
Lineage: Eukaryota; Metazoa; Arthropoda; Insecta; Coleoptera; Chrysomelidae
Gene: beta'COP
Source: RefSeq, a predicted model, not a curated record